Molecule: ribosomal RNA, 305 nt
Filed under: uncultured bacterium
Lineage: Bacteria
Description: bacterial SSU rRNA
Rfam family: Bacterial small subunit ribosomal RNA
Source: RNAcentral
UUUGCCUACGGGAGGCAGCAGUGGGGAAUAUUGCACAAUGGGGGGAACCCUGAUGCAGCGACGCCGCGUGAGUGAAGAAGUAUUUCGGUAUGUAAAGCUCUGUCAGCAGGGCAGAAGAAAGACGGUACCUGACCAAGAAGCCCCGGCUAACUACGUGCCAGCAGCCGCGGUAAUACGUAGGGGGCAAGCGUUAUCCGGAUUUACUGGGUGUAAAGGGCGCGUAGACGGCAGGGCAAGUCUGGUGUGAAAGGCAGGGGCCCAACCCCUGGACUGCUCUGGAAACUGUCCGGCUGGAGGGCAGGGGG